Molecule: long non-coding RNA, 4844 nt
Filed under: Marmota monax (woodchuck)
Lineage: Eukaryota; Metazoa; Chordata; Mammalia; Rodentia; Sciuridae
Source: RNAcentral
GAUCUACUUUGGAGAUUAAACCACAAGAAGCCUGAGAACCAAACUGAUUCUUUUUUCCAAAACCUAUUGCUUCUGCAUUCAGAUCAUCAGGUGCUCAAGAUGACUAGGUACACCAUGACUGGCAUCCAUCGCGAGCAUCAAUGGUAUGUAGAUGGCAGCCUGAUGCAUAUAUAUUACCCCUUCUGAGGAGCCUCACUCACUCACCCCAGGGGAAAGAGAGGGAGGCAGAGCAUCAGGAGAAAUAAGUAACUAUCAGUUUCAAUAUGGUUUCCAGGCUCCUCCAUCCUGCCUGAGAGGCCACCAGGUUGGCCAGAAGCAAGUGGGUGUCCUGGGACCCGAGGCAUGAAACAGCUUGAACUUUCCCAUUACCCGAAUGGCUCAACACUUUUAGAACAUUGCUGCAUUGUUCUGCGCCCUUAGGUUUCCGGUUGGCAGGCCAACCCCAGGCGUUGCCAGCAAGCCCAUAGCUAUGAUGAUUCGUCUCACCUCCAGCCAUUCAUCUCCCUGAGUACACCAGGACAUCAUCUCACAGUGUUACUACCCAAGAGAACAGGGGCGGGGCGUGGGGGAAGGGGAUUACAUCAUCAUUAUUAUUGUUAUUCACUUAUCAGAUGAUUAUUAAUUACACUUCAAUUAAAGGCUUGCAGUCUUUACAAGCAUGAGCUCAUCAGACACACAAUGCCCAAAGGAGGUCAAGAACCAGGAGACGGGCUGAUGUGUUCAGGAAUGAGCUGACUUAAGUUGCAGAAAUCCUGGCAUUUGGUUUUUUCCCUCUCUCUCUCCAGUCUAGCAGGUGAGGGUCUCUCAAUCCCCCCACGGAUGUCUCCUGGAGUCUGUCAAAGUGACAAGGAUAGAAUUAGCCCUUCUCAAUACUUCCAUGGAGUUAAAAGGAAAGAAAGCAGAAGAAGCCAGUUCAUGACCAGGAGCUGAGCCGCAGCCAGCUCACCCCCAAGAUAAAUAAGCCCAGGGAGUUAACUUCUUGGGAAUCCAAGGAGCAACAGCUGGCGUGGUGGAUUUUAAAUGUGCAGUGCUCUGUGGAAGGUUCCGGGAAGGUUCUGGCUGGGGAGGUGGUGGGGCAAGGCUUUAGAUAUCAGGAAGUCAUUUUGUCACUGGAGGCCAAAGAACAGGGCCGUGGUGCCCAGAAACAGAAAAUGGUGAGCGGCAUCCAGAGCCCUCAGAAAAGUGCUGCGGCCACAGACAGGAGCGAAGCCCAGGGCAGGAGCCACAGGUGAACCCCUUUGAGGGAUGCAGGUCCCACCCCUGUGACAGCAUCUCUGUGACCUCUCAUCAUACCAAAGCCCCAGAAGACUGUUAAAACCCAGCUCAAACCUGACUCCCCCAGGAAAGGUGUCCCUUUAAAAUAAGUAGCAGGUAGAACAACUGCAUAUGUUUUUUUUUCAUUUCUUUUCUUUCUUUCUCUCUCUCUGUCUCUCUCUCUGUUUCUUCUUUCUUUCUUCCUUCCUUCCUUCCUUCCUUCCUUGGGGAGUGGUAUGGAAAAGGAUGGAAUCUGCUAAGAGGCAGAGGGAGGCACCAGGUCCUUCAGUGAGCCAGACAACCUAUCCCACAGUAGCCACCUCCAACCUGGCUACAAAGUUAAUAAAACCUGAAGGGGAUGGAAAAAGAAGCAGAAACCUGAGGCAGUCGGUCCCUUAUCUUGAAAGAAAAAUCAGUGCUUUAGUUAGCCGGAGAGGUUUGCCAAUUAAAAGGCUCUUGAAAGAAGUGAAUAAAUAAAAUCCCAGUUAGUUCUCCUGUGCUGGGUGGGGAGGGAGGGUCCUGGGGCUUUGUUCUAUAAAGGGCUUGGGCUUUACAGGAUAGGGAGUUAGGGCCUCUGUCCCCCACCCUCCUUCUACUAUCUUUACCCAAUGAGGUUUGUAGUGAUCUAAUCGGGAAGAGAUAAAGCCCAAUUUCCUAAGCUCUGGAGCUGAUAAACACCAAGCCAAAGACAAGCUCUGUUCACAAAGCAAUAAUUAAAGCUCUCAGGAACCCAACCAGUACUGUGGUCAAAAGGACAAGGACAAACUCAUAUUUCUCAAUGCCAUUCUGGGCAGCUGUAAGCACCUCUUGUUGGAAUUUAAUCCAGAGGAAUUAGCAUUAUCAUCAUCCACGUCUUUAUGGAUUCAACUAGACCGUAACAGCACAUGACCAGCCUGGCUACCACCUAACUCUGCUGACCACAAGCACCAAGCAUGCCAUUAAUGUAGCCUUCUGUCGAGAUUCAGCAAAAUAAGCUCUAUUGUAUUUCUUACUGAUCGAGGGUCUAAAUUCUAGGGAUUAUAUGAUUGCCUGUGAAGUGGGGUGCCCUUUUAUUUGUAAAACACGGAUAGCCAGAUAUUACCUGACAGUGCGGGAGUUUCUUAGUUCUGCAGAGCAAGUUCUCUCCCUUGAAGCAUUUGGAAAUAGUAAUGUGCAUGUACUAGGAGAUGUGGGGUCGAAGCAAAGGGAAAGAAUAUGUACGGCCAUGCUUUCUAUACCCAACAGGGUUUUUUCCAGAGUUGUAACCUGGUGAAAGACAGGGAGAGGAUGGGGUCAAUCCUGCUCAGAGUGAGCCAUUCUUUAGGUCCCUUUGAGAACACCAAGAAAUGUCAACAGGAAAUGGACAGGUCUCCAUUUGGAUCAGAGAUAAUCCUGGCUGGAACAGAAAACAGGGCUGUGGGUCUGCCAGCAUUUGGACAGACUGUGAACGUCUUACUAGGAUCAAGAGGAAGACAGGGUCCUGGCUGAGGCAUCAAUGUUUUCUCCUAUUAAAAAAAAAAAAAUCACUGGAAACUGUCUUUUGGAAUGAAAUUUAACUUAGGCUUUGACUAUAGAAAACAGAUAAAUAUGGUAUUUUAUAAGUUUAUUUCAAAUAUUUUUACUUUAAAUGUUUAUCAAAAAGGAUAAUGAGACAACUUUGAUGAGCCUAAGUAUCUGGAAUUAAAUGUCAUGCUUUGCUUCGUAUCAAUCUCUGCAUCCAAGUUAGUUAUUUUAGUUGUCAUUGGUUAUGUUUUGAUUUUAAGAAAGUUUGUGUGUUUCAAAGUCACUAGAAAAUUCUAAUUCACAUAAGUAGAGGCAAAUGGAAAGUAUUUUUUUAAAGCUCUCCUUUCAGUCAUAUUAUGCAUGCCCUCCAAAAUAAACGAAUCUGAAAAGUUGGGCAAGAAGCUUAAGAUAUUUUUAGUUUCAAAAUUUAAUCACAGUAGUUUAAAAAAAAUGGCUUGCCUUCUUCACUACAACUUGAAGGUCAGCAGCAAACAUCCCAGCCUUAUAGUAAAUACUAAAAUAUCUCUGAUAACAUAUGAUGCUGCAUAUAGCACAAUAGCAAUACAUGUGCCAAGGCCACACAUAGAAUGUGAAAGAGUUGGAACUAGAUUUGGAGAAGCAAAAAAGAUGACAUAAUCAGGUCUUCAUUUUAGAGAUAUCACAGUGGCUUUGGUGUGGUAAUGGUGUUGAGAAGGGAUGAUGGAGAGAGUAAGAGGAAGACAGACUAACUCUAACUCAGGAGUUGCUAUGACAAUCCAGGUGAGAGAUGAUGGUAGCCAAAAUAAGCCACAGCACUGUGACAGGAAAGAACACCAGUGCCAACUGAAGAGUCGACAGGACUUGGUUAUGAAUUAGAUGGGGGCUGAGGGAUUGAGGGGCAGAGGAGAAAGAGUUAUGUCAAAUUCUGUGACACUGGCAGUGAAAUGGAUGGGGUUUCUGUUACGAGCGCAAGAACUUCAGGAGGAAGAGGUUGGGAAGGGAGUGGAGGAAACAGAUGCUGAGUUCAGACAGGUUGAGUCUGAGGUUCACGUUAAUAACUACCCACUGCAUCCUUGCAGAGAAGUUCAAGUCCUUGCAAAAAUUGUGCUAAUCGGAGUCCAGCACACAAAAACAAAUCUAUCUUUCAAGAAGCUUGUAACAUACAUGAACAAUCUGAUUAUAAGGCAGAGGUGGCAAUGCUUUUGGGAAGGUAUAUAUCUUUGGAAAAAUAGGGGACGGUAUCUUACAAGGGUUCAUAGGACUUAAAAGAUAAGUACAAUGGGUUUGGGAAGGCUGGGAAGGGAGAGAUACAGUGAAGACAGGGUUAACAACUUGAACCAGACAGGGAGAAGGGGAAUAGACUAAUUCUACUUGUUUGGCUUAAGGUAAAAAUUAGUGAGCGAGAGGUAAGGCUGGAGGGGCACACUGUGGCAGUUGGGGACAACCGUGCCCAUGGUGCUUUACUGCAGAACCUCGCCUCUGUGCAUUGGAAGCCAAUGAAAGGCCUUGACAGGGAAAAGCAUGAGGUCAUGGGAACCAAAUCUGAGGCACAGCCUGCCUCCUUCACUUCUGAGGACGAGAACUUGGGCUGCAGGGGCUGCUGGGAAAGUCAGGUCAUCUAUUCCCCCUCUAUCUCCCCAGGUAAAUGUCACUGUUAGUACAGAGGGAAAUACCAGUGGCAACCGAAAACCACUGGCAGUGAGGCCCCAUGGGUGAAGUCAUUCUCUCUGAGUCACUAAUGCUGCUCUUUAACUUAUUUUGGAAUCUUUGCUUUGUGGUGUGGGGGUGGAUUAAUUGGCAGAAAUUACAGAAGUAGCUAUUACUCCAUCUUGAUUUGGGGAGCCUGGUUCAGAGAUUUUGAAAACUCUCAUUUUACUUUUGGGUUUGUGCCUCAUUCAUAUACUUUUUUAAAGCACCAUCCGAUGUCAUGAGGUGAAGUGCACAUCUUACGUUAAUUUUCCCAAGGAAUGCCUGCGGAGUGGUUUUAUCACCAGGAUAUAAAAAUUGAACUUUUCCCCCAGUAUAAAGCAGGCUGUGGUUUGAUAAAUACCGUGAAUGUAGAGCACAGAAAAAAAGAAAAAGAAAAAAAAAACUUAUUCUGUGCAGGCAACUAUGAAAGUCAUCUCGAU